AUGACGUGGAGGUACCCUCGUCGCCUCCUCGACCCUGUCCUCGAUGAUUUGCGCGGGGGAAAACAGCUAACCGCCGACUGCAUUUACAAGAUAUGUGACCUGCUGCGCUGUUCAUGGCCGCCGGAGCCAACCCCUGCCCCAACUCCCGGCGUUUAUCGGGACAACAGUGGGAACGUCAGCACAAUCACCAAGAUCAGAAAAGACGUUUUCGCCACAACCACCGUAUCUAAAGACCUUGUCGCGAUGACCACAAUCACCUCAACUUGUCCGAGCAAUGGUGACUGCACUCAAGACGAUGGUGUCCAUCUCUCAACUGAAUUGGCCACAGACAUAUCCUCCAGUGUGAACAGCAGAGUCUGCUCCUGGCGGGAGAACCCCGAUUUCCUCCCACUGUUGAAGAUGUCGUGCACGACUUCUACAUCCACGCGCUGGGCAUACUGCCCAGUCAUGCGUUACGGGACCGCCACCUCCUCCGUGCUGUCCUCACAGCCGGACAUUGUUAUGGCCCCUUGGACCCUGUGUCAAACAUCAUACUCAACUCUAUCUGGUACGACACCGUUUUCCCACUCUCGGAUGAUAUGUCGCCAAUCAGAUUGGAGCAGCUGA
This 606-nucleotide ribosomal RNA is filed under the name Triticum aestivum (bread wheat). Its description in RNAcentral is "partial small subunit ribosomal RNA". Lineage: Eukaryota; Viridiplantae; Streptophyta; Magnoliopsida; Poales; Poaceae. The record is from RNAcentral.